Molecule: ribosomal RNA, 460 nt
Filed under: uncultured bacterium
Lineage: Bacteria
Description: partial 16S ribosomal RNA
Rfam family: Bacterial small subunit ribosomal RNA
Source: RNAcentral
CCUACGGGAGGCAGCAGUGAGGACUAUUGGUCAAUGGGCGCGAGCCUGAACCAGCCAAGUCGCGUGAAGGAUGACUGCCCUACGGGUUGUAAACUUCUUUUAUAAAGGAAUAAAGUGAGGCACGUGUGCCUUUUUGUAUGUACUUUAUGAAUAAGGAUCGGCUAACUCCGUGCCAGCAGCCGCGGUAAUACGGAGGAUCCGAGCGUUAUCCGGAUGUAUUGGGUUUAAAGGGCGCGUAGCUGGGAUGUUAAGGCAGUUGUGAAAAUUUGCGGCUCAACCGUAAAAUUGCAAUUGAUACUGGCAGUCGUGAGUACAGUUGAGGUAGGCGGAAUGCGUGGUGUAGCGGUGAAAGGCUUAGAUAUCACGAAGAACUCCGAUUGCGAAGGCAGCUUACUAAACUUCCACUGACAUUGAUGCGCGAAAGUGUGGGUAUCAAACAGGAUUAGAUACCCCUGUAGUC